This is a long non-coding RNA of Xenopus tropicalis (tropical clawed frog), 608 nucleotides long. RefSeq lists it as uncharacterized. The transcript has 3 exons. Lineage: Eukaryota; Metazoa; Chordata; Amphibia; Anura; Pipidae. The record is from RefSeq and is a predicted model, not a curated record.
CUUAAAUGUACAGAAUCGUGUAUUAUGGAAGAUUUGUAUUUAUGGACUGAUCCAAUGCAUUUUCAUUUGUGAUAUUUUUUUCCCACAGGUAUUCAUGGCAUGUUUUUUUCAAAACCAUACAGCCCACCGUUCAGUUCAAAGGGAAAAGGGGAUAUUGUUCGUGCCAGAUGCAGCUCUAAGCUCCGUUCCAUUCUUAGCCGAUCGUUUGCACUGCUUUCAGCCGCUUUGGAAUUGAAAGAACAUUGCGAUGCAGAGAUGGGCUGCGCAUACACUCCUGGGAUGGCACCACUGGCACCUUUUAGCUUGGAGUGACUGACUGACUGAGAAUCACAAGCAGCUGGUCGGUUAUUUAAAGGGAUCUUGCCAAUCCUAUCCUCUGUUCCCUGGAAAUCCCUUCUUCAUCCUAUCAGAUUGUUUGCCCCAAUCAUUGCUAUUGAGUAACUGAUAGCAGGAGCUUCUCAUAGCUCAGUGUAUUCUUCCAUCGUUGGCUUCAUGAGAUCAUAAGACAUAUUCCAAUAGAAUAAAGGACAAAUGGACAGAUCCUGUGAAGAGAAUGAAGCUUGUGGGGUAUAGGACCUGUUAUCCAGAAUGCUCGGGACCAAGGGUAU